CAUGGGGUAAUACCGAAUACGCUCAUUUGGCUGUGGGCGGAUGAGGAAAGGCGCUUCGGCGUCGCCACUGCGAUGAGCCUGCGCCCCAUUACUAGUUGGUAGGGUAAAGGCCUACCAAGGCGACAUGGGUAGCGGCCUGAGAGGGUGAUCGGCACACUGGGACUGAGAUACGGCCCAUACUCCUACGGGAGGCAGCAGCUAAGAAUCUUCCGCAUGGACGAAAGUCUGACGGAGCGACGCCGCGUGGGUGAAGAACGCGGAAGGUUGUAAGCCCUUUCUCGUGAGGAAUAGCGAGGAGGGAAUGCCUGUGCGAUGACGGUAGGUGAGGAAUAAGUCCCGGCCAAUUACGUGCCAGCAGCCGCGGUAACACGUAUGGGACGAGCGUUGUUCGGAAUCAUUGGGCGUCAAGGGCGCGUAGGCGGCGAGGUAAGCCUGGUGUGAAAGAGCGCAGCUUAACUGCGGAACCGCGCUAGGAACUGCUUUGCUUGAGUUCAGGAGGGGGAGCUGGAAUUCCAGGUGUACGGGUGAAAUCUGUAGAUAUCUGGAAGAACACCGGCGGCGAAGGCGAGCUCCUGGCCAUGAACUGACGCUGAGGCGCGAAAGCGUGGGGAGCGAACAGGAUUAGAUACCCUGGUAGUCCACGCUGUAAACGAUGUGCACUAGGUGUUGGGCCACGAAGGUUCAGUGCCGGAGUCAACGCGUUAAGUGCACCGCCUGGGGAGUAUGCUCGCAAGGGUGAAACUCAAAGGAAUUGACGGGGGCCCGCACAAGCGGUGGAGCAUGUGGUUUAAUUCGAUGAUACGCGAGGAACCUUACCAGGGUUUGACAUAUGCCGGAAUGUGCAGGAGACUGCGCAGCCCUUAGGGGCCGGUAUACAGGUGAUGCAUGGCCGUCGUCAGCUCGUGCCGUGAGGUGUUGGGUUAAGUCCCGCAACGAGCGCAACCCAUACCGUCUGUUGCCAGCAUUCAGUUGGGGACUCAGGCGGAACUGCCGGUGACAAACCGGAGCGAAGGUGGGGACGACGUCAGGUCAUCAUGGCCCUUAUAUCUUGGGCUACACACGUGCUACAAUGGCCGGUACAGAGCGAAGCAACACCGCGAGGUAGAGCAAAUCGCAGAAAGCCGCGUCUCAGUUCGGAUUGGACUCUGAACCCGACUCCAUGAAGUUGGAAUCGCUAGUAAUCGCGCAUCAGCA
Molecule: ribosomal RNA, 1194 nt
Filed under: uncultured organism
Description: bacterial SSU rRNA
Rfam family: Bacterial small subunit ribosomal RNA
Source: RNAcentral